Musa acuminata AAA Group (dessert banana) is the source of this 219-nucleotide long non-coding RNA. RefSeq lists it as uncharacterized. The record is from RefSeq and is a predicted model, not a curated record. The transcript is spliced from 3 exons. NCBI's taxonomy places the organism in Eukaryota, Viridiplantae, Streptophyta, Magnoliopsida, Zingiberales, Musaceae.
GCUUUUAGUCUCUCAAAGAAAGUCGGAGAAUUGAAAAAGCAGGUGGCAGCAUAAAGUACAUGGUUCUGGUACAUUCAUGGAAUCUUCUUAGAGGCAUCUUCCUCUUCAGGCUCCUCAAAGGAUGGCUCUAAUCUUUAGCAGGAUGAAAUGGAGGAUAUGCUUGUGGUUAGGACCGUAGAUAUUGUCUGCUAUGGUUGGAGUCAUCUCCUAUCUAUUCUU